Molecule: ribosomal RNA, 776 nt
Filed under: Neisseria meningitidis
Lineage: Bacteria; Pseudomonadati; Pseudomonadota; Betaproteobacteria; Neisseriales; Neisseriaceae
Description: bacterial SSU rRNA
Rfam family: Bacterial small subunit ribosomal RNA
Source: RNAcentral
CUGGGACUGAGACACGGCCCAGACUCCUACGGGAGGCAGCAGUGGGGAAUAUUGCACAAUGGGCGCAAGCCUGAUGCAGCGACGCCGCGUGAGGGAUGACGGCCUUCGGGUUGUAAACCUCUGUUAGCAGGGAAGAAGAGAGAUUGACGGUACCUGCAGAGAAAGCGCCGGCUAACUACGUGCCAGCAGCCGCGGUAAUACGUAGGGCGCGAGCGUUGUCCGGAAUUAUUGGGCGUAAAGAGCUUGUAGGCGGUUUGUCGCGUCUGCUGUGAAAGGCCGGGGCUUAACCCCGUGUAUUGCAGUGGGUACGGGCAGACUAGAGUGCAGUAGGGGAGACUGGAAUUCCUGGUGUAGCGGUGGAAUGCGCAGAUAUCAGGAGGAACACCGAUGGCGAAGGCAGGUCUCUGGGCUGUAACUGACGCUGAGAAGCGAAAGCAUGGGGAGCGAACAGGAUUAGAUACCCUGGUAGUCCAUGCCGUAAACGUUGGGCACUAGGUGUGGGGGACAUUCCACGUUUUCCGCGCCGUAGCUAACGCAUUAAGUGCCCCGCCUGGGGAGUACGGCCGCAAGGCUAAAACUCAAAGAAAUUGACGGGGGCCCGCACAAGCGGCGGAGCAUGCGGAUUAAUUCGAUGCAACGCGAAGAACCUUACCAAGGCUUGACAUAUACUGGACCGCAUCAGAGAUGGUGUUUCCCUUCGGGGCUGGUAUACAGGUGGUGCAUGGUUGUCGUCAGCUCGUGUCGUGAGAUGUUGGGUUAAGUCCCGCAACGAGCGC